AUCUUGUGCAGUCUUCAUAGAAGGCUCAAGAUAAUGAAAGGAUGACGUGGAAAGAGGCAUCCCACAGUCAGACAGGCUGGGACCCAAAAGCAGAUGAGACAAUGUUGGAGAGAGCUGAGCUGCUCCUCUGCUAUGCUGCCCUGCUGCGAAGCCAGCCAACUGUAGACUAAAACCUCUAUAAACCAGUUCUGCCAUGAAUCCAUCAAGACCUAGGCUUUUCUUUGUUGGUGCCUGCAGAGGACACAAGAAGAGGAACAAGUUAAGCAGCACCAAAGUCCUGGAGGGAACUCAAACUUGGAGAUGCCUGCAGGAUGGCAGGAGGGGGUGAGACUCCAUGAACUGAGGACUUUUGUUCCACUGCAUUGUUCCACUAUGAUGUUUCUGCCUUGGACCCCGUUGACCAUGGACUGAAUGCCCUGAAACUAGUGAGGAGAGCAAAUCACAACUCUUGGGAGAUUAUUGGAACCUCUGGAUCCAGAUGUGCCCCAAACCUGACACAUUCCUGGAUGCUCCUGACUUGUGAUUGAAUAGCUCUGGGGUUCUUUUUCCCAACCUAUUAAAUUCCAUUUCCAUCACUGUAA
This is a long non-coding RNA of Cavia porcellus (domestic guinea pig), 581 nucleotides long. RefSeq lists it as uncharacterized. The record is from RefSeq and is a predicted model, not a curated record. Lineage: Eukaryota; Metazoa; Chordata; Mammalia; Rodentia; Caviidae. The transcript is spliced from 6 exons.